GGUCUAGGCCCGCCAGGUCUCACUUGAGCCGAAGCGCUCCGGGUUCCUUCACUCCUGGCCCACUCUGGGACACAGGGAGAUUUUUGCAGCUGUGAGGGAUGCUGUUUUUGAGCUCAGUUUAAAGGGUAAGAUGCCUUUCUGACAGCCCUGGACUCAGAGACAUGAAAUCUUCAGGGUGGCUGGAGAUGGAUCAAAGAACCACGUCUCAGUAAGUCAACAACUUCAUUGGACCAAUAUGCUCAAAAUGCAUCUUUUUGAACGCAGAAACUCUUGUUCAGCUACUGCAGUAACAAAUUCUUUCUGUGGAAAAAAGUAAAGAUGAGUGGAAAUUGUGCUCUAUCAUCUCACCGUGCUUCUGAGCGACCUGAGUGUUCGCACCAUGAACCCACAGCCGGAGCAUCACAGCCCAUGGGGGGAGGCGAACUGUAAUUAUAGAUAAAUUUAGAAGAGAAAAUAAGUUUUCUGGAGUGACUGGAAAACUAAAGCUGGAAAGUAAGAGGUGAUAUCAUUUGAGGAUGAAGGACACAGAAACAUCAAGUUUUACCAGCACAGAUAAGCCGGCUUAGAGACGCUGAAGGCCAGCUGGGGCUCUGUGAUGUGCCACGGCUCUGUCCCAUUGCCGGUUCAUCCUUUCUUAUGGCUCCCUCCCUGCAUAUAGCUUUGUAAACUGCCCCGAAUCCUUUCGGAAAUUGAGCAGUGCCCGAACAAACAAAAAUACUGAUUUUUAGGUGCUUUCUGAUGUAUUGUGAAAUUGAAUUUUAACAGUCAAGGUAAUUAAAAUAAAAGAAGGGUUAUUUUUGUUUUAAUCUUUCAUUAUUGAAAUGAAACUAUUUCCUCAGUGCUUUUUAGCGCUUGUGCCUCAUGGUGGUGGUCAGGCAGGUAUCCUUCUACAGCGGUAUUUAUUGAUAGCUCCUCAUGCAAUCAUAUAUGGUCAGCUAUACGUCUGUAGAAGGUUUUCUACAGGUGAUUAUUUGCUUUACAGAAAUAGGAUCCUUUGGGGUUUUUUGGCCAUGCGGCAUAUGGGAUGCUAGUUCCCUGACCAGGAAUGGAACCCGUGCCCCCUGCAUUGGAAGAGCAGUGUCCUAACCACUGGACCACUAGGGAAGCCCCAGCAUCAUAUUUUAAAUACACUCUGUUUUUGUUUUCUGAGGCUCCCUGGUGGUCUUGCCAGAUCACUCUUGUAAGUCAUUCUUUUGAUGACUAUGUGAUAUUUUAGGGUGUGGAUAGAUCACGAUUUAUUUAGUGAUUCCCCACUCAUUAGCUUGGGGUUGUCUCCACUUUUUAUUUUGCCCCAAUAAAGGAAACUGCAAUAAUCAUCUUUAUAUAUUUAUUCUGAGGUAAUGUGCUUUUACUUUAUAGGAGUGCUGAGUUAGAG
Molecule: long non-coding RNA, 1375 nt
Organism: Bos taurus (domestic cattle)
Lineage: Eukaryota; Metazoa; Chordata; Mammalia; Artiodactyla; Bovidae
Source: Ensembl